This 118-nucleotide ribosomal RNA is filed under the name Pteropus alecto (black flying fox). The record is from RNAcentral. Lineage: Eukaryota; Metazoa; Chordata; Mammalia; Chiroptera; Pteropodidae.
AUCUACGGCCAUGCCACCCUGAACAAGCCUGAUCCCGUCUGAACUGGGAAGCUAAGCAGCGUCGGGCCUGGUUAGUACCUGGUUGGGAGACCACCUAGGAAGACCAGUGCUGUAGGCG